This 1463-nucleotide ribosomal RNA is filed under the name Mycobacterium szulgai. RNAcentral's name for it is "partial 16S ribosomal RNA". It matches the Rfam family "Bacterial small subunit ribosomal RNA". Lineage: Bacteria; Bacillati; Actinomycetota; Actinomycetes; Mycobacteriales; Mycobacteriaceae. The record is from RNAcentral.
GGCGGCGUGCUUAACACAUGCAAGUCGAACGGAAAGGCCCCUUCGGGGGUACUCGAGUGGCGAACGGGUGAGUAACACGUGGGUAAUCUGCCCUGCACUUCGGGAUAAGCCUGGGAAACUGGGUCUAAUACCGGAUAGGACCCCGAGGCGCAUGCCUUGGGGUGGAAAGCUUUUGCGGUGUGGGAUGGGCCCGCGGCCUAUCAGCUUGUUGGUGGGGUGACGGCCUACCAAGGCGACGACGGGUAGCCGGCCUGAGAGGGUGUCCGGCCACACUGGGACUGAGAUACGGCCCAGACUCCUACGGGAGGCAGCAGUGGGGAAUAUUGCACAAUGGGCGCAAGCCUGAUGCAGCGACGCCGCGUGGGGGAUGACGGCCUUCGGGUUGUAAACCUCUUUCACCAUCGACGAAGGUCCGGGUUUUCUCGGAUUGACGGUAGGUGGAGAAGAAGCACCGGCCAACUACGUGCCAGCAGCCGCGGUAAUACGUAGGGUGCGAGCGUUGUCCGGAAUUACUGGGCGUAAAGAGCUCGUAGGUGGUUUGUCGCGUUGUUCGUGAAAUCUCACGGCUUAACUGUGAGCGUGCGGGCGAUACGGGCAGACUGGAGUACUGCAGGGGAGACUGGAAUUCCUGGUGUAGCGGUGGAAUGCGCAGAUAUCAGGAGGAACACCGGUGGCGAAGGCGGGUCUCUGGGCAGUAACUGACGCUGAGGAGCGAAAGCGUGGGGAGCGAACAGGAUUAGAUACCCUGGUAGUCCACGCCGUAAACGGUGGGUACUAGGUGUGGGUUUCCUUCCUUGGGAUCCGUGCCGUAGCUAACGCAUUAAGUACCCCGCCUGGGGAGUACGGCCGCAAGGCUAAAACUCAAAGGAAUUGACGGGGGCCCGCACAAGCGGCGGAGCAUGUGGAUUAAUUCGAUGCAACGCGAAGAACCUUACCUGGGUUUGACAUGCACAGGACGCGUCUAGAGAUAGGCGUUCCCUUGUGGCCUGUGUGCAGGUGGUGCAUGGCUGUCGUCAGCUCGUGUCGUGAGAUGUUGGGUUAAGUCCCGCAACGAGCGCAACCCUUGUCUCAUGUUGCCAGCGGGUAAUGCCGGGGACUCGUGAGAGACUGCCGGGGUCAACUCGGAGGAAGGUGGGGAUGACGUCAAGUCAUCAUGCCCCUUAUGUCCAGGGCUUCACACAUGCUACAAUGGCCGGUACAAAGGGCUGCGAUGCCGCGAGGUUAAGCGAAUCCUUUUAAAGCCGGUCUCAGUUCGGAUCGGGGUCUGCAACUCGACCCCGUGAAGUCGGAGUCGCUAGUAAUCGCAGAUCAGCAACGCUGCGGUGAAUACGUUCCCGGGCCUUGUACACACCGCCCGUCACGUCAUGAAAGUCGGUAACACCCGAAGCCAGUGGCCUAACCCUUGGGAGGGAGCUGUCGAAGGUGGGAUCGGCGAUUGGGACGAAGUCGUAACAAGGUAGCCG